This 253-nucleotide ribosomal RNA is filed under the name uncultured bacterium. RNAcentral's name for it is "partial 16S ribosomal RNA". It matches the Rfam family "Bacterial small subunit ribosomal RNA", at positions 524 to 776 of the family's 1533-position model. The record is from RNAcentral. RNAcentral also lists the same sequence under 1 other name.
UACGGAGGAUCCAAGCGUUAUCCGGAUUUAUUGGGUUUAAAGGGUGCGUAGGCGGCUUUUUAAGUCAGGGGUGAAAGACGGUAGCUUAACUAUCGCAGUGCCUUUGAUACUGAAGAGCUUGAAUGGACUAGAGGUAGGCGGAAUGUGACAAGUAGCGGUGAAAUGCAUAGAUAUGUCACAGAACACCAAUUGCGAAGGCAGCUUACUAUGGUUUAAUUGACGCUGAGGCACGAAAGCGUGGGGAUCAAACAGG